Molecule: long non-coding RNA, 840 nt
Organism: Nerophis lumbriciformis (worm pipefish)
Lineage: Eukaryota; Metazoa; Chordata; Actinopteri; Syngnathiformes; Syngnathidae
Source: RefSeq, a predicted model, not a curated record
CCCAGAUGUAUCGUUUGUGUCGUAGCAGACUACUUCCUGGUUCAUGUUCCCAGAUGUAUCGUUUGUCUAGUACAGACUACUUCCUGGUUCAUGUUCCCAGAUGUAUCGUUUGUCUAGUGCAUGGUUCAAGUUCCCAAAAGUAUUGUUUGUGUCGUAGCAGACUACUUCCUGGUUCAUGUUCCCAAAAGUAUUGUUUGUGUCGUAGCAGACUACUUCCUGGUUCAUGUUCCCAAAAGUAUUGUUUGUGUCGUAGCAGACUACUUCCUGGUUCAUGUUCCCAGAUGUAUCGUUUGUCUAGUGCAUGGUUCAAGUUCCCAAAAGUAUUGUUUGUGUCGUAGCAGACUACUUCCUGGUUCAUGUUCCCAAAAGUAUUGUUUGUGUCGUAGCAGACUACUUCCUGGUUCAUGUUCCCAAAAGUAUUGUUUGUGUCGUAGCAGACUACUUCCUGGUUCAUGUUCCCAGGUGUAUCGUUUGUCUAGUGCAGACUACUUCCCGGUUUAAGUUCCCAAAUGUAACGUUUGUGUAGUAGCAGACUACUUCCUGGUUCACUGACGACAUCAAAGAAUGUAGUAAUGAUUAGAUGGUGUACCUAAUGAAGUGUCCAGCCCCCUGUCUGCCGUUAUGUAUCAUAUCAAAGCUGUGUAUGAAAGCCAUAGUCAGUGUUUAGCAUUAGCAUCCGCUUAUUAGCAUAUCCUUCAGCGCCGCUUCACGCCUCACACUUUACGUCUGCUUCUGUUUCUACGAUUGUAACAAAGCCCCAGCAGAGAGCAGACUACUACUACUGUGCACAGCGCCACCACCUGUCCUCACGUCAGCAAUAAAGUGACCUGGAGACUGUGA